AACGAACGCUGGCGGCAGGCCUAACACAUGCAAGUCGAGCGCCCCGCAAGGGGAGCGGCGGACGGGUGAGUAACGCGUGGGAACGUACCCUUUGCUACGGAAUAGCCUCGGGAAACUGGGAGUAAUACCGUAUGUGCCCUUCGGGGGAAAGAUUUAUCGGCAAAGGAUCGGCCCGCGUUGGAUUAGGUAGUUGGUGGGGUAAUGGCCUACCAAGCCGACGAUCCAUAGCUGGUUUGAGAGGAUGAUCAGCCACACUGGGACUGAGACACGGCCCAGACUCCUACGGGAGGCAGCAGUGGGGAAUCUUAGACAAUGGGCGCAAGCCUGAUCUAGCCAUGUCGCGUGAGCGAUGAAGGCCUUAGGGUUGUAAAGCUCUUUCAGUGGGGAAGAUAAUGACUGUACCCACAGAAGAAGCCCCGGCUAACUCCGUGCCAGCAGCCGCGGU
RNAcentral lists this ribosomal RNA (445 nucleotides) under uncultured bacterium. RNAcentral's name for it is "bacterial SSU rRNA". It matches the Rfam family "Bacterial small subunit ribosomal RNA", at positions 29 to 521 of the family's 1533-position model. The record is from RNAcentral.